RNAcentral lists this small nucleolar RNA (129 nucleotides) under Amphilophus citrinellus (Midas cichlid). Its description in RNAcentral is "Small nucleolar RNA SNORA13 (ENSACIG00000018556.1)". Lineage: Eukaryota; Metazoa; Chordata; Actinopteri; Cichliformes; Cichlidae. The record is from RNAcentral.
UGCCUUCAUGUGUUGCCCGUUCGCUGCUUCCAUGGUGAUACGGGUGUCAGCUGAGGCAGACAGAAACUCUUACGGUCGCCUCUGUGGGCGGAGUCAGCUGCCCCUGACAGGACGUCUGGAAGGACACUC